RNAcentral lists this unclassified non-coding RNA (389 nucleotides) under Hevea brasiliensis (rubber tree). The record is from RNAcentral. Lineage: Eukaryota; Viridiplantae; Streptophyta; Magnoliopsida; Malpighiales; Euphorbiaceae.
AGCUGUUUCUUCAUAAACCUGAAUGGUAGCUGAAUCUCCCUCCAAGCGAAUAAUCUCCCCGAUGAGAUGGUCAUGACCAACACGGACCAGUUCAUACAUGGCAGCACCACCCAUUCCAUCUGCCACCACGACUGGCCCAGACACCUUACGGACGUAUCCGUACUCGCUCUCCUUCUCAGCGUCCUCGAACGUCGUCAUCCGGCCACCGUACGACAUAGCGGCGAUCGGAGAGGUCGCUGGGCGGAGCGGCGGAUGAGAAUUGCUGGCGGAUCGGGUGAGAUCGAGGCGAUGAGAGGAGAGAGAGAAAGGGCGAGAUCUGGAGGUCGAGAUCAGAGGGGGAGAAGAGGAGAGAGGGAGAAUCCGGUGACUCGGAUUGGUGGUGAUAAAAA